MicroRNA precursor from Gallus gallus (chicken), 110 nucleotides. The record is from Ensembl. NCBI's taxonomy places the organism in Eukaryota, Metazoa, Chordata, Aves, Galliformes, Phasianidae.
CAUUUCUGCUCUGGUUCACAUGCUUUGCUGGAUCCAGUGACACUUCAGUUUUCUGCUUCAGGAAGUGCUGCUGAAUAGAGCAGGAAGUGUGAACCAACAGCAGCUAGAAU